GUGGGGAAUAUUCCGCAAUGGACGAAAGUCUGACGGAGCAACGCCGCGUGAGUGAUGAAGGUUUUCGGACUGUAAAGCUCUGUUGUUUAGGACGAAAGUGCCUGUUGCAAAUAGUUACAGGUAUUGACGGUACUGAACGAGGAAGCCACGGCUAACUACGUGCCAGCAGCCGCGGUAAUACGUAGGUGGCAAGCGUUGUCCGGCAUUAUUGGGCGUAAAGAGCAUGUAGGCGGGAAUCUAAGUCUGUUGUGGAAAUGCGGGGCUCAACCCCGUAUUGCGAUGGAAACUGGGUUUCUUGAGUGCAGGAGAGGAAAGGGGAAUUCCCAGUGUAGCGGUGAAAUGCGUAGAUAUUGGGAGGAACACCAGUGGCGAAGGCGCCUUUCUGGACUGUGUCUGACGCUGAGAUGCGAAAGCCAGGGUAGCGAACGGGAUUAGAAACCCGAGUAGUCC
RNAcentral lists this ribosomal RNA (450 nucleotides) under uncultured bacterium. RNAcentral describes it as "partial 16S ribosomal RNA". It matches the Rfam family "Bacterial small subunit ribosomal RNA", at positions 354 to 796 of the family's 1533-position model. The record is from RNAcentral.